This 442-nucleotide ribosomal RNA is filed under the name uncultured Eubacteriales bacterium. Its description in RNAcentral is "bacterial SSU rRNA". It matches the Rfam family "Bacterial small subunit ribosomal RNA", at positions 338 to 795 of the family's 1533-position model. The record is from RNAcentral. Lineage: Bacteria; Bacillati; Bacillota; Clostridia; Eubacteriales.
CCUACGGGAGGCAGCAGUGGGGAAUCUUGCACAAUGGGCGAAAGCCUGAUGCAGCAACGCCGCGUGAGCGAAGAAGGCCUUUGGGUCGUAAAGCUCUGUCCUAGGGGAAGAAAAAAAUGACGGUACCCGAGGAGGAAGCCCCGGCUAACUACGUGCCAGCAGCCGCGGUAAUACGUAGGGGGCGAGCGUUAUCCGGAAUUAUUGGGCGUAAAGAGUGCGUAGGUGGCUUUGUAAGCGCGGGGUGAAAGGCAGUGGCUUAACCAUUGUUAGCCCUGCGAACUGUGAGGCUUGAGUACAGGAGGGGGAAGCGGAAUUCCUGGUGUAGCGGUGAAAUGCGUAGAUAUCAGGAAGAACACCGGUGGCGAAGGCGGCUUUCUGGACUGUAACUGACACUGAGGCACGAAAGCGUGGGGAGCAAACAGGAUUAGAUACCCGUGUAGUC